GACAGAGGGGGCAAGCGUUGCUCGGAAUUACUGGGCGUAAAGGGCGCGUAGGCGGAAUGGCAAGUCGGUCGUGAAAUCCUUCGGCUCAACCGAAGAACGUCGAUCGAAACUGCCGUUCUUGAGGAUUGCAGAGGAGACUGGAAUUCCCGGUGUAGCGGUGAAAUGUGUAGAGAUCGAGAGGAACACCGGUGGCGAAGGCGGGUCUCUGGGCAAUUCCUGACGCUGAGGCGCGAAAGCGUGGGGAGCAAACGGG
This 253-nucleotide ribosomal RNA is filed under the name uncultured bacterium. RNAcentral's name for it is "partial 16S ribosomal RNA". It matches the Rfam family "Bacterial small subunit ribosomal RNA", at positions 524 to 776 of the family's 1533-position model. The record is from RNAcentral.